Molecule: ribosomal RNA, 551 nt
Filed under: uncultured Glomeromycotina
Lineage: Eukaryota; Fungi; Glomeromycota
Description: SSU rRNA
Rfam family: Eukaryotic small subunit ribosomal RNA
Source: RNAcentral
UUGGAGGGCAAGUCUGGUGCCAGCAGCCGCGGUAAUUCCAGCUCCAAUAGCGUAUAUUAAAGUUGUUGCAGUUAAAAAGCUCGUAGUUGAAUUUCGGAGUUUGUCGGUUGGUCGGGCUUCACUGUUCGCACUGGCCUGAUGGAUUCCUACCUUCUGAAUAACCAGCAUGCUAUUAAUUUAGUGUGUUGGGGAAGCAGAGCUAUUACCUUGAAAAAAUUAGAGUGCUUAAAGCAGGCUUACGCUUGAAUAGAUUAGCAUGGAAUAAUAAAAUAGGACGGCAUGAUUCUAUUUUGUUGGUUUCUAGGAUCACCGUAAUGAUUAAUAGGGAUAGUUGGGGGCAUUAGUAUUCAAUUGUCAGAGGUGAAAUUCUUGGAUUUAUUGAAGACUAACUUCUGCGAAAGCAUUUGCCAAGGAUGUUUUCAUUAAUCAAGAACGAAAGUUAGGGGAUCGAAGACGAUCAGAUACCGUCGUAGUCUUAACCAUAAACUAUGCCGACUAGGGAUCGGACGAUGUUAAUUUUUUAAUGACUCGUUCGGCGCCUUACGGGAAAC